AUACUUUACCUGGCACAGGAGAUACCGUGAUCACGAAGCGGUUUCUCCUCAGGGCGAGGCUCACCAUUGCACUCCGGUGGUGCGCUGACCCUGCGAUUAACCCAAUGUGGUUUAACUCGAGUGCGCAAUUUUUGGUAGCGGGGACUUGCGUUCGCGCUAUCUCCCC
Penaeus vannamei (Pacific white shrimp) is the source of this 166-nucleotide non-coding RNA. The record is from RefSeq and is a predicted model, not a curated record. NCBI's taxonomy places the organism in Eukaryota, Metazoa, Arthropoda, Malacostraca, Decapoda, Penaeidae.